Molecule: ribosomal RNA, 449 nt
Filed under: uncultured bacterium
Lineage: Bacteria
Description: partial 16S ribosomal RNA
Rfam family: Bacterial small subunit ribosomal RNA
Source: RNAcentral
AAUGAACGCUGGCGGCAUGCCUAACACAUGCAAGUCGAACGAAGGCUUCGGCCUUAGUGGCGCACGGGUGCGUAACGCGUGGGAAUCUGCCCUUGGGUUCGGAAUAACAGUUAGAAAUGACUGCUAAUACCGGAUGAUGUCGUAAGACCAAAGAUUUAUCGCCCAAGGAUGAGCCCGCGUAGGAUUAGCUAGUUGGCGGGGUAAAGGCCCACCAAGGCGACGAUCCUUAGCUGGUCUGAGAGGAUGAUCAGCCACACUGGGACUGAGACACAGCCCAGACUCCUACGGGAGGCAGCAGUGGGGAAUACUGGACAAUGGGCGAAAGCCUGAUCCAGCAAUGCCGCGUGAGUGAUGAAGGCCUUAGAGUUGUAAAGCUCUUUUACCCGGGAUGAUAAUGACAGUACCGGGAGAAUAAGCUCCGGCUAACUUCGUGCCAGCAGCCGCCGUAA